GGUGCAGCAGGCGCGAAAACUUUACAAUGCGGGAAACCGUGAUAAGGGGACACCGAGUGCCAGCAUCAUAUGCUGGCUGUCCAGGUGUGUAAAAUACACCUGUUAGCAAGGGCCGGGCAAGACCGGUGCCAGCCGCCGCGGUAACACCGGCGGCCCGAGUGGUGAUCGUGAUUAUUGGGUCUAAAGGGUCCGUAGCCGGUUUGGUCAGUCCUCCGGGAAAUCUGACGGCUCAACCGUUAGGCUUUCGGGGGAUACUGCCAGACUUGGAACCGGGAGAGGUAAGAGGUACUACAGGGGUAGGAGUGAAAUCUUGUAAUCCCUGUGAGACCACCUGUGGCGAAGGCGUCUUACCAGAACGGGUUCGACGGUGAGGGACGAAAGCUGGGGGCACGAACCGGAUUAGAUACCCGGGUAGUCCCAGCCGUAAACGAUGCUCGCUAGGUGUCAGGCAUGGCGCGACCGUGUCUGGUGCCGCAGGGAAGCCGUGAAGCGAGCCACCUGGGAAGUACGGCCGCAAGGCUGAAACUUAAAGGAAUUGGCGGGGGAGCAC
Molecule: ribosomal RNA, 550 nt
Filed under: uncultured archaeon
Lineage: Archaea
Description: bacterial SSU rRNA
Rfam family: Archaeal small subunit ribosomal RNA
Source: RNAcentral